Molecule: ribosomal RNA, 810 nt
Filed under: uncultured bacterium
Lineage: Bacteria
Description: bacterial SSU rRNA
Rfam family: Bacterial small subunit ribosomal RNA
Source: RNAcentral
AGAGUUUGAUCAUGGCUCAGAAUCAACGCUGGCGGCGUGCCUCAGACAUGCAAGUCGAACGCGAAAGCCUCCUUCGGGGAGCAAGUAGAGUGGCGCACGGGUGAGUAACACGUAGGUAAUCUACCUUUGGAUUGGGAAUAACCACCGGAAACGGUGGCUAAUACCGAAUAAUGCAGCGGCACCUAAUGGUGACAGUUGUUAAAGCGGGGGAUCGCAAGACCUCGCGUCUGAAGAGGAGCCUGCGGCAGAUUAGCUAGUUGGUAAGGUAACGGCUUACCAAGGCGAUGAUCUGUAGCCGGCCUGAGAGGGCGGUCGGCCACACUGACACUGACAUACGGGUCAGACUCCUACGGGAGGCAGCAGUCGGGAAUUUUGGGCAAUGGGCGAAAGCCUGACCCAGCAACGCCGCGUGAAGGAUGAAAUCCUUCGGGAUGUAAACUUCGCAAGAACGGGAAGAAUAAGUAAGGGUUAAUAUCUCUUACGAUGACGGUACUGUUUGUAAGCUCCGGCUAACUCCGUGCCAGCAGCCGCGGUAAUACGGGGGGAGCAAGCGUUGUUCGGAUUUACUGGGCGUAAAGGGCGCGUAGGCGGCCACCGCAAGUCGACUGUGAAAUCUCCGGGCUUAACCCGGAAAGGUCAGCCGAUACUGCGGGGCUAGAGUGCAGAAGGGGCAACUGGAAUUCUCGGUGUAGCGGUGAAAUGCGUAGAGAUCGGGAGGAACACCAGUGGCGAAGGCGGCUACCUGGACCAGCACUGACACUGAGGCACGAAAGCGUGGGGAGCAAACAGGAUUAGAUACCCUAGUAGUCC